RNAcentral lists this ribosomal RNA (468 nucleotides) under uncultured bacterium. Its description in RNAcentral is "partial 16S ribosomal RNA". It matches the Rfam family "Bacterial small subunit ribosomal RNA", at positions 28 to 507 of the family's 1533-position model. The record is from RNAcentral.
GACGAACGCUGGCGGCGUGCUUAACACAUGCAAGUCGAACGGAAAGGCCCUGCUUUUGUGGGGUGCUCGAGUGGCGAACGGGUGAGUAACACGUGAGUAACCUGCCCUUGACUUUGGGAUAACUUCAGGAAACUGGGGCUAAUACCGGAUAGGAGCUCCUGCUGCAUGGUGGGGGUUGGAAAGUUUCGGCGGUUGGGGAUGGACUCGCGGCUUAUCAGCUUGUUGGUGGGGUAGUGGCUUACCAAGGCUUUGACGGGUCGCCGGCCUGUGAGGGUGACCGGCGACAUUGGGGCUGAGAUACGGCCGAGACGCCUACGGGAGGCAGCAGUGGGGAAUAUUGCACAAGGGGCGGAAGCCGGAUGCAGCAACGCCGCGUGCUGGAUGACGGCCUUCGGGUUGUAAACCGCUUUCGCCUGUGACGAAGCGUGAGUGACGGUAAUGGGUAAAGAAGGACCGGCUAACUACGUG